RNAcentral lists this unclassified non-coding RNA (130 nucleotides) under rhizosphere metagenome. Its description in RNAcentral is "partial ribosomal RNA internal transcribed spacer region". The record is from RNAcentral.
GAAUGCCCUUUGGGGCUUAUCCAACCAACCUCUGUGAACCGUGGCCUUCGGGCCUUUACAAACAUUGAACGUAAAGAACGUAGCAAACCUAUAACAAAACAAAACUUUCAACAACGGAUCUCUUGGCUCU